CACCACACCAGACGGGUAUCAUAUUGUAUACAUCUUAUAUAUAACCAGGAUUUGAGCGUAAACCACCACGCUGUUCGACUGCAGGCUGUGGAUAAUUUCUCUACUAUGAAUGAAACAAGAAGACAAGAAGACAAGGGAAAAAUAUUAGUAAAAAAACAAAUCAGUUAUAUGUAAUAAUAAUAAUCAUAUAUAUACAGUUAAUAUG
RNAcentral lists this unclassified non-coding RNA (205 nucleotides) under Melitaea cinxia (Glanville fritillary). RNAcentral describes it as "misc RNA ENSMCXG00005004420.1". Lineage: Eukaryota; Metazoa; Arthropoda; Insecta; Lepidoptera; Nymphalidae. The record is from RNAcentral.